UGGGGAAUUUUGGACAAUGGGCGCAAGCCUGAUCCAGCAAUGCCGCGUGCAGGAUGAAGGCCUUCGGGUUGUAAACUGCUUUUGUACGGAACGAAACGGCUCUGGUUAAUACCUGGGGCUAAUGACGGUACCGUAAGAAUAAGCACCGGCUAACUACGUGCCAGCAGCCGCGGUAAUACGUAGGGUGCGAGCGUUAAUCGGAAUUACUGGGCGUAAAGCGUGCGCAGGCGGUGAUGUAAGACAGAUGUGAAAUCCCCGGGCUCAACCUGGGAACUGCAUUUGUGACUGUAUAGCUAGAGUACGGCAGAGGGGGAUGGAAUUCCGCGUGUAGCAGUGAGAUGCGUAGAUAUGCGGAGGAACACCGAUGGCGAAGGCAAUCCCCUGGGCCUGUACUGACGCUCAUGCACGAAAGCGUGGGGGGCAAACA
This 427-nucleotide ribosomal RNA is filed under the name uncultured bacterium. Its description in RNAcentral is "bacterial SSU rRNA". It matches the Rfam family "Bacterial small subunit ribosomal RNA", at positions 355 to 774 of the family's 1533-position model. The record is from RNAcentral.